Molecule: long non-coding RNA, 251 nt
Filed under: Gossypium barbadense (sea-island cotton)
Lineage: Eukaryota; Viridiplantae; Streptophyta; Magnoliopsida; Malvales; Malvaceae
Description: long non-coding RNA (GBAR_LNC013993)
Source: RNAcentral
GGAUAGAUAAUGUGGAAAAGAGCCCUAUAUGUAUAAUGUACCAAGCUUGGAUUAGCCUCUUAGGUAUGUGAAAUUUAUCAUUUUGGGAAAUACAGUUAGUAAAAUGACUUUGAGAUAAGUAAGACAGUUAGAGAUAAAAUGAGUAGAUUCAUUGAUAAAGUUGAUUUACAUUACUGAAAUAGUAAAACGAAAAAUACAAGAAUUGGAAAUGUAUAUAUCAAUUUUCUCCCUUGGUAGGCUGAUCAGUGGGU